RNAcentral lists this ribosomal RNA (434 nucleotides) under uncultured Ruminococcus sp. Its description in RNAcentral is "bacterial SSU rRNA". It matches the Rfam family "Bacterial small subunit ribosomal RNA", at positions 341 to 792 of the family's 1533-position model. Lineage: Bacteria; Bacillati; Bacillota; Clostridia; Eubacteriales; Oscillospiraceae. The record is from RNAcentral.
ACGGGAGGCAGCAGUGGGGAAUAUUGCACAGUGGGCGCAAGCCUGAUGCAGCGAUGCCGCGUGAGGGAAGGAGGUUUUCGGAUUGUAAACCUCUGUCAACAGGGACGAAAAUGACGGUACCUGAGAAGGAAGCUCCGGCUAACUACGUGCCAGCAGCCGCGGUAAUACGUAGGGGGCAAGCGUUAUCCGGAAUUACUGGGUGUAAAGGGAGUGUAGGCGGGACUGUAAGUCAGAUGUGAAAUAUGCCGGCUCAACUGGCAGACUGCAUUUGAAACUGCGGUUCUUGAGUGAAGUAGAGGUAAGCGGAAUUCCUAGUGUAGCGGUGAAAUGCGUAGAUAUUAGGAGGAACAUCAGUGGCGAAGGCGGCUUACUGGGCUUUAACUGACGCUGAGGCUCGAAGGCGUGGGGAGCAAACAGGAUUAGAUACCCUGGUA